Non-coding RNA from Aspergillus avenaceus, 106 nucleotides. The record is from the annotation of a GenBank genome assembly. Lineage: Eukaryota; Fungi; Ascomycota; Eurotiomycetes; Eurotiales; Aspergillaceae.
ACUCCCGUAACUCAGUUGGUUAGAGUAUCAAGCUUAUAUGAUCACUGUAUAUUUGCUAGAUUAUAUGUCCUCUUGGAAGUCGGGAGUUCGAUCCUCCCCGGGAGUA